GGCGGUAUGGUGGAAUGGCAGACACGUUCGACUCAAACUCGAAUGCCGUAAGGCUUGGGGGUUCAAGUCCCUCUACCGCUA
This 81-nucleotide transfer RNA is filed under the name Nitrosomonadaceae bacterium. RNAcentral describes it as "tRNA-Leu". It matches the Rfam family "tRNA". Rfam says of the family: Transfer RNA (tRNA) molecules are approximately 80 nucleotides in length. Their secondary structure includes four short double-helical elements and three loops (D, anti-codon, and T loops). Further hydrogen bonds mediate the characteristic L-shaped molecular structure. tRNAs have two regions of fundamental functional importance: the anti-codon, which is responsible for specific mRNA codon recognition, and the 3' end, to which the tRNAs corresponding amino acid is attached (by aminoacyl-tRNA synthetases). tRNAs cope with the degeneracy of the genetic code in two manners: having more than one tRNA (with a specific anti-codon) for a particular amino acid; and 'wobble' base-pairing, i.e. permitting non-standard base-pairing at the 3rd anti-codon position. Lineage: Bacteria; Pseudomonadati; Pseudomonadota; Betaproteobacteria; Nitrosomonadales; Nitrosomonadaceae. The record is from RNAcentral.